GAUGAACGCUGGCGGCGUGCUUAACACAUGCAAGUCGAACGGUGAACGAGGGAGCUUGCUCCCUCCGGAUCAGUGGCGAACGGGUGAGUAACACGUGAGCAAUCUGCCCUGGACUCUGGGAUAAGCGUUGGAAACGACGUCUAAUACCGGAUACGAGGCGUGGGGGCAUCCCCAACGCCUGGAAAAAACUUCGGUCCAGGAUGAGCUCGCGGCCUAUCAGCUAGUUGGUGAGGUAACGGCUCACCAAGGCGACGACGGGUAGCCGGCCUGAGAGGGGGACGGGCCACCCUGGGACUGAGACACGGCCCAGACUCCUACGGGAGGAAGCAGUGAGGAAUAUUGCACAAUGGGCGAAAGCCUGAUGCAGCAACGCCGCGCGAGGGAUGAAGGCCUUCGGGUUGUAAACCUCUUUUAGUAGGGAAGAAGCGAAAGUGACGGUACCUACAGAAAAAGCACCGGCUAACUACGUGCCAGCCGCCGCAGUAA
RNAcentral lists this ribosomal RNA (486 nucleotides) under uncultured bacterium. RNAcentral's name for it is "partial 16S ribosomal RNA". It matches the Rfam family "Bacterial small subunit ribosomal RNA", at positions 28 to 523 of the family's 1533-position model. The record is from RNAcentral.